CGCGUAGGCGGCUUGGUAAGUCAUCUGUGAAAUCCCGGUGCUCAACGCCGGGGCUGCAGGUGAGACUGCCUGGCUAGAGCUUGGUAGGGGCGAGUGGAAUUCCCGGUGUAGCGGUGGAAUGCGUAGAGAUCGGGAAGAACACCAGUGGCGAAGGCGGCUCGCUGGGCCAAUGCUGACGCUGAUGCGCGAAAGCGUGGGGAGCAAACAGGAUUAGAUACCCUGGUAGUCCACGCUGUAAACGAUGGGUACUAGGCGUCGGGGGGAGCGACCCCUUCGGUGCCGUCGCUAACGCAGUAAGUACCCCGCCUGGGGAGUACGGCCGCAAGGCUGAA
This 332-nucleotide ribosomal RNA is filed under the name uncultured Actinomycetes bacterium. RNAcentral describes it as "bacterial SSU rRNA". It matches the Rfam family "Bacterial small subunit ribosomal RNA", at positions 568 to 898 of the family's 1533-position model. Lineage: Bacteria; Bacillati; Actinomycetota; Actinomycetes. The record is from RNAcentral.